CGCUUACUGAUUCAUCAAGCCCAACAAACAUGUUUUUUCUUCCUAACAUAUGGUUGCUUGCUCCUAUAUUCAAAUACCAAGUAUUCUUUUCUCUGCUCUCUUCACCUUUGUAAGCCAACAGUAGUGCAGGAUCUACUUCACUUUCCCGACAAGCGUAGUUGGCUUUCUCCUCAACUUGGUUAGUAAUAUUUCUACAUUCUGAAGCAUAGUGACCAAGUUUUUGACAAUUGUAACAUUUAAUUUGAGAUUUGUCAUACCUUGGUCUUUCAUUUUGCCUCGUACAUUUUCCUCUUCUGCAACCUUUGGUAGAAAAUGAACUUUAUCUUCUUUCCUCUUUGUAGAAUGCAAUUCUUCCUCGAUCUUGGCCUGGUCCUCUUCCUCUUUGGCUUUUUCUACUGUUGAACCUUUCUUCACCCUCGUUCAAAAUGAGCUUUGUUUGAAGAGCUUGCUCCAAUGACUCUUCAUUCACCUUCUUCCUUAGUCUUUCCUCAUGGACUUGUAAAGAUCCAAUGAGUUCAUCGACACUCGUACUAUCUAGAUCUUUAGAUUCCUCAAUGGCUACAACUAUGUAGUCAAAUUUAGAAUCUAAAGACCUAAGUAUCUUCUCAAUUACUCUAGUGUCGUUCAACUUUUCUCCAUUCCUUUUU
Molecule: long non-coding RNA, 647 nt
Filed under: Olea europaea subsp. europaea
Lineage: Eukaryota; Viridiplantae; Streptophyta; Magnoliopsida; Lamiales; Oleaceae
Source: RNAcentral